GACGAACGCUGGCGGCGUGCUUAACACAUGCAAGUCGAACGAAAAUACCAAGCUUGCUUGGUUGAUUUGUGGCGAACGGGUGAGUAACACGUGAGUAACCUGCCCCUUACUUUCCUGGAUAACUGCUCGAAAGGGUAGCUAAUACGGGAUAUUCUGACCAGCCUGCAUGGGUUGGUUUGGAAAGGUUGUUUUUCUGGUAAGGGAUGGGCUCGCGGCCUAUCAGCUUGUUGGUGGGGUGAUGGCCUACCAAGGCUUUGACGGGUAGCCGGCCUGAGAGGGUGGACGGUCACACUGGGACUGAGAUACGGCCCAGACGCCUACGGGAGGCAGCAGUGGGGAAUAUUGCACAAUGGGCGCAAGCCUGAUGCAGCGACGCCGCGUGAGGGAUGAAGGCCUUCGGGUUGUAAACCUCUUUCGUCAGGGAACAAGGCACUGCUUUUUUGGUGGUGUUGAGGGUACCUGGAUAAGAAGCGCCGGCUAACUACGUG
RNAcentral lists this ribosomal RNA (488 nucleotides) under uncultured bacterium. Its description in RNAcentral is "partial 16S ribosomal RNA". It matches the Rfam family "Bacterial small subunit ribosomal RNA", at positions 28 to 507 of the family's 1533-position model. The record is from RNAcentral.